Molecule: ribosomal RNA, 555 nt
Filed under: Vreelandella boliviensis
Lineage: Bacteria; Pseudomonadati; Pseudomonadota; Gammaproteobacteria; Oceanospirillales; Halomonadaceae
Description: bacterial SSU rRNA
Rfam family: Bacterial small subunit ribosomal RNA
Source: RNAcentral
CUACCUGCAGUCGAGCGGUAACAGAUCUAGCUUGCUAUAUGCUGACGAGCGGCGGACGGGUGAGUAAUGCAUAGGAAUCUGCCCGGUAGUGGGGGAUAACCUGGGGAAACCCAGGCUAAUACCGCAUACGUCCUACGGGAGAAAGGGGGCUCCGGCUCCCGCUAUUGGAUGACCCUAUGUCGGAUUAUCUAGUUGGUGAGGUAAUGGCUCACCAAGGCAACGAUCCGUAGCUGGUCUGAGAGGAUGAUCAGCCACAUCGGGACUGAGACACGGCCCGAACUCCUACGGGAGGCAGCAGUGGGGAAUAUUGGACAAUGGGGGCAACCCUGAUCCAGCCAUGCCGCGUGUGUGAACAAGGCCCUCGGGUUGUAAAGCACUUUCAGCGAGGAAGAACGCCUAGUGGUUAAUGCCCAUUAGGAAAGACAUCACUCGCAGAAGAAGCACCGGCUAACUCCGUGCCAGCAGCCGCGGUAAUGCGGAGGGUGCAAGCGUUAAUCGGAAUUACUGGGCGUAAAGCGCGCGUAGGUGGCUUGAUAAGCCGGUUGUGAAAUGCAC